RNAcentral lists this ribosomal RNA (2229 nucleotides) under wastewater metagenome. Its description in RNAcentral is "bacterial LSU rRNA". It matches the Rfam family "Bacterial large subunit ribosomal RNA", at positions 1 to 2007 of the family's 2925-position model. The record is from RNAcentral.
ACAAGCUGUGAAGGGCACAUGGUGGAUGCCUUGGCAUCAAGAGCCGAUGAAGGACGUAGGAGCCUGCGAUAAGCCCUGGGGAGUUGGCAACCGAGCUGUGAUCCGGGGGUGUCCGAAUGGGGGAACCCAGCACGAGUCAUGUCGUGUUACCCGCGCCUGAAUGUAUAGGGUGUGUGGAGGGAACGUGGGGAAGUGAAACAUCUCAGUACCCACAGGAAGAGAAAACAAUAGUGAUUCCGAGAGUAGUGGCGAGCGAAAUCGGAGGAGGCUAAACCUCGUGCGUGUGAUACCCGGCAGGGGUUGCGUGCGGGGGGUUGUGGGAGCAUAUGGAGGGGUCUGCCGGCUCCUUGCACAGUGAGAAAGUCGUUGUGAAGUUGAAGUCCGCUGGAAAGUGGUGCCGUAGAGGGUGAGAGCCCCGUAAGUGUAAGCGACGACCUGUGAUGUGUUUUCCCAAGUAACACGGAACUCCUGAAAUUCUGUGUGAAUCUGGCGGGACCACCCGUUAAGCCUAAAUACUCCUUGAUGACCGAUAGCGGACUAGUACCGUGAGGGAAAGGUGAAAAGUACCCCUGGCGGGGAGUGAAAUAGUACCUGAAACCGUGUGCCUACAAUCCGUCGGAGCCCGGCUGCCCUUUGUGGGUGUUGGGGUGACGGCGUGCCUUUUGAAGAAUGAGCCUGCGAGUUUGCGUUGUGUUGCGAGGUUAACCCGUGUGGGGGAGCCGUAGCGAAAGCGAGUCCUAAUAGGGCGGUUGAGUAGCACGAUCAAGACCCGAAGCGGAGUGAUCUAUCCAUGGGCAGGUUGAAGCGCGGGUAAGACCGCGUGGAGGACCGAACCCACUUAGGUUGAAAACUGAGGGGAUGACCUGUGGAUAGGGGUGAAAGGCCAAUCAAACUCCGUGAUAGCUGGUUCUCCCCGAAAUGCAUUUAGGUGCAGCGUCGCGUGUUUCUUACCGGAGGUAGAGCACUGGAUGGUCUAGGGGGCCCACAAGCUUACCGAAAUCAGCCAAACUCCGAAUGCCGGUAAGUGAGAGCGCGGCAGUGAGACUGCGGGGGAUAAGCUCCGUAGUCGAGAGGGAAACAGCCCAGACCAUCAGCUAAGGCCCCUAAGCGGUGACUAAGUGGAAAAGGAUGUGGAGUCGCAGUGACAACCAGGAGGUUGGCUUGGAAGCAGCCACCCUUGAAAGAGUGCGUAAUAGCUCACUGGUCAAGUGAUUCCGCGCCGACAAUGUAGCGGGGCUCAAGUCAUCCGCCGAAGCUAUGGCAUUCACGCGUGUAUCUAGCCGCCACCUCGUGUGGUUGGUUCAGGUGUGUGGAUGGGUAGGGGAGCGUCGUGUCGCGUGUGAAGUUCCGGAGUGAUCCAGGGGUGGAUGCGACACGAGUGAGAAUGCAGGCAUGAGUAGCGAAUCACGGGUGAGAAACCCGUGCGCCGAAUGAUCAAGGGUUCCAGGGUCAAGCUAAUCUGCCCUGGGUAAGUCGGGACCUAAGGCGAGGCCGACAGGCGUAGUCGAUGGACAACGGGUUGAUAUUCCCGUACCGGCAACGUAGCGCCCAUGACGAACCUGGUGAUGCUAACCAUCCGAAGCGCAGGUUGACCGAUCCCUUCGGGGUGAGGCUCUUGUGUGGAGCGUGGGACCCGAGCUGGUAGUAGUCAAGCGAUGGGGUGACGCAGGAAGGUAGCCCAACCACGCCGAUGGUUGUUGCGUGGGUAAGCAGGUAGGGGGCGGUCUAGGCAAAUCCGGACCGCUGUGUUUGAUCACGACCCUGAGAUGUGAUGCCGAGCCCGUAUGGGCGAAGUGGGUGAUCCUAUGCUGUCGAGAAAAACCUCUAGCGAGCUAUGCGCCGCCCGUACCCCAAACCGACUCAGGUGAUCAGGUAGAGAAUACCAAGGCGAUCGAGCGAACCAUGGUUAAGGAACUCGGCAAAAUGCCCCCGUAACUUCGGGAGAAGGGGGGCCGGAUCCGUGACCACCCUUGCGGUGGAAAGCGGUGAUGGCCGCAGAGACCAGGCCCAAGCGACUGUUUACUAAAAACACAGGUCCGUGCGAAGUUGUAAGACGAUGUAUACGGACUGACUCCUGCCCGGUGCUGGAAGGUUAAGGGGACCUGUCAGGGUAGUGAUACCCGAAGCGGAGAACUUAAGCCCCAGUAAACGGCGGUGGUAACUAUAACCAUCCUAAGGUAGCGAAAUUCCUUGUCGGGUAAGUUCCGACCUGCACGAAUGGAGUAACGA